AGUCCCCAGGAGAGGCUGGUGCAGGAAGGCUCAGACACUGUGUUCUCUGACAUAAUUUAUAGGCCCAUGGCAUAUGUGGGGAACUGAGAGGUCUUUGGUCAACAGUCACUGGGGACCUGGGUCCCGCCAACAACCACAUGAUUCAUUUUGGAAGCAGAUCCUCCCCUACAUGAGCCUUCAGAUGAUCACAGCCACAUAUGACAGCUUGAUGGCAACCUCAUGAGAGAGACAGAACUGAAACCACCCUGAUUCCUGACCCACAGAAAUUGGCUUCUAUGAGGCUGUCUUGUAGGAUGCCCAUGACGAUCCUCCAGACACUAAGAUGAGAAAACUAAGGCCCAAAGGGACACCUGGCUUUCCUAAGACCUGUAAGUGGAAGAGUCAGCAUUUGAAUGGAGAACUCGCAGCUUUCGGAGUCUAGACUUGUUUUACCUCACCAGACUGCUUCUACUCCUAGUGAUUCCUUCCCUUAGAUUAAGCCUUGCUCUCUUCCCGUGCAAUCAUGAAGAGGAUUAUAUUAGUAAAUCCCUGAACAUUCCCUGAUUGGGGAGUGAGGGUCAAACCAAGGCAAAUGGCAGGAUUGACACUCACAUCAAGGGCUGGCUCAUUAAGGGCUCGGGACCUGGCGAUCGAGUUGCAUUGCAGAUUUUGGAAGUAUGCAAGACCACGCCAGCCACCUUUCCAGGGAGAGACCAUGCAAAGAAGGCAGGUGAUCCAAGGGCUGGGAGUGGUGAGGACUGCUCCAGCCCCUGAGCAGCUGUCAUCCCAGCACAAAGUGUCAGAAGAGACCUCAAAGUGUGGUCUGCAGACGAGGCAGCAUCUGCAUCACCUGGGAGCUUGUUAGAAAUGCAGAAUCUUCUGAGAGAACCAGACCUGCUGCAUCAAAAUCUGCAUUUUAACAAGAUUGUAACUUAGAUACACAGUAACACUUAAAAAGGAUGGGGCAGAGAGGCUAAGUCAGCAGCUUCUCAUCACACUCCAAUCUGAUGCUGCUAGUGCUCCAAAAAGCUCUCAUAUCCUCACUGACUAGCCUAGGGCUGUGUCUAUCAAUGCAUUAUAUGACACAGAUGAAGACUAUUGUGUACCUUCCUCAAUUUUUACCCCAUUGUUUCAGCCUUUUGUACAUCUUUAAUGCAAACAUCCAUGCGAGAAUUCUUGUGACAUUAAUUUUUUGGAACAACCUGUUUUGCAGAGCAAAUUUCAUUAAGCCAUUUUAAUCCAGAGUUUAAUUUUUUAUACAGCUCGACUCAAUCAUUUCCAUUUUUUUUCCAUUAGAAUGUCUAUUUGUAGUAACAUUAUUUUCAUGGGAUCAAUUAUUUUCUGUUUAAAUUUACAACAGGCAUUUGACUCAUCAGUCUCUUUUUAUAUACCAUCUUUUUGCUGAUUCUGACUUCUGCUAUUUGGAGAGGUUUUCUUGUUUGUGUGUUUGAUUCUUUUGUGGCCAUUCUUUCUAUUAAGUGAAAAUCGUCUGGAUCAAAUUUUGUAGAUUUAAAUUUUGUUAUUAGUGAUACCUGUUUUUUUUCCCUGUCAAUUUUAGCUCAUUACACAUUCUAGUCAUUUUAACCCUGCUAGUUUUGUUAGUUGCUGAUCACUUUUACCAUACCAGUAAUACGUGGUAGAAAUAAUCACCAGAAUGAAAACUCUGCAAAGGCAGGAUUUCUGUCCCUUUUUUUUUUUGUUUUUUUUUUUUUCCUGCCUUAUACUUGAGACUUAGUGCAUGGCACAUAGAAAGUGCUCCAUAUGGCCAGGCGCAGUGACUCACGCCUGUAAUCCUUGCACUUUGGGAAGCCAAGGCAGGUGGAUCACUUGAGGUCAGGAGUUUGAGACCAGCCUGGCCAACAUGGUGAAACCCCGUCUGUACUAAAAAUACAAAACAUUAGCCAGGCAUGGUGGCGGGCACCUGUAGUCCCAGCUACUCGGGAGGCUGAGGCAGAGAAUCACUUGAACCCAGGAGGCAGAGGUUGUGGUGAGGUGAAGUCACACCACUGCACUCCAGCCUGGGUGACAGAGCGAAACUCCAUUUAAAAAAAAAAGAAAGAAAGUACUCCAUAAAUAUUUGUAGGUGGAAAGAAUGAUAUUCACAUAUGAUUUAAUCAAAGACUGACAGUUUAUCUAUUUGAUAAAAAGACUGUGAGAAGCAGAGAUUGAUGGAGACAGGAGAGAAAGUGGAGGAGAAGAGAAGAUGGAGACAGCACACACACAUGCACAGACUUGAACAUGCAGACACACAUUGCACAUGCACAUGCAUGCACACAGCCACACACGUAUACACAAACACACAUGCGUGCACACAGCCACACGUAUACACAAACACAUGCGUGCACACACCACACACAUAUAUGUAAGCACACAUGCAUGCACACAGGCAUACACAUAUACAUAAACACGCAUGCACACAGCCACACACAUAUACACACAAGCAUGCACAUACACAGAGGCAUAUAUACACAUGCACUAACAUACGCAUAGUCACAGAUACACCUGUAGGUGCAAACACCUAUAUAUGUGUUCACAUUCAUACACGGGAGUUAUUAUAUUUGUGCUCACACAUGUAGAGGGUAGAAUUGUGGUUAUUAGAUGCUGGGAAGAGUAGAGGAAGAGAAGAUAGGGAGAGGCUGGUUGGUGGAUACAAAGUUACAGCUGAAUGAGAGAUAAUUUUGACUGUUCUGUAUACUGUAGGAUGAAUAUGGUUAACAAUAACUUAGUGUAUAUUUUCAAAAAGCCAGAAGAGAGGAUCUUGAAUGUUCACAGCACAAAUAAAUGAUAAAUGUUUGAGGUGAUGGAUAUGCUACUCUGAUUUGAUCAUUACACAUUGUAUAAAUGUAUUGAAAAAUCACUCUGUAUCCCAUAAAUAUGUAUAAUUAUUAUGCAUCAACUAAAAAUUAAAGACCACACAUAUAUGCACACAUAGACAUGCACAUGAACACACAUACUCAUGCAUAUGUGUAUACAUGCAGAGUUACACAUAUACACAAACACACAUAUAUGCACACAUAGACAUGCACAUGAACACACAGACAUACUCAUGCAUAUGCGUAUACAUGCACAGUUACACAUACACACACAUAUAUGCACACAUAGACAUGCACAUGAAGACACUAUGCACAUGUCCACACAUGCACACAGCCACACACAUACAUAUAUACACAAAUACCCAUAAAUAUGCACAUGUAGACAGCAUGCACACAGAGAUACAUAUGCACACACACAGCCACAUGUAUACACACUUGUGCAAAUGUAUGCACACACAGACACACAUAUGCCCAUACAUAGGCAUAUACACGUACAGAUUCAGAUAUAAACACAUACAAACACUCAUGUACAUAUGCAAACACAUGUACACACACAGUCUGCUGGCAUAGUGAUGGCUAAACCAAUGCAGGGUAGGGUAAAAUGUCUCUGGUGCAAGGUCAGUAGGAUAAAAUCUGCAGGAUCAAAUGGAAUGCUUAACAACACUCCUCUGUGGGGUAUCAGUGUCUCCAUUUUACAACCAGUGCUUAAUCAAAUGCACAUUGAGUUGAACUGAAUAUUGGAAAAUGAAUUGCUACCUUUGAAUGAAUCUACUGAAAAAUUAUACUUGUCCUGGGUCAGACCGUGUGAAAAGCACUGGGUAUUGGAGAUGAAAAGUGGUUGGCCCUUUUUCUUUGAAAGCUUAGUCCAGUGGGGAAGAUGGAUGUGGAAGCUGAGCAAUUAAAAUGCAGCUUGAUAAAAGCUGUGCUGAAAAACCCUCACUGAGCUGAGCAGUGGGGGCUGGGAGGGAGCAGGUCUUAAACUGAAUGAUCAGGUUUAGUGGGAGCUGUUUAAAUUCUGAGCCAUCAGGCAUUUUUGCUGGAUUCCUUUCGGUGCGCUUGUUAAUCAAUUAUAAAAUAAUAAUAAUGAACACUUCAGGAGAGAGGAUGGAGGUUGAAAGACAGUGGAGGGCUGGACUUGAGGUUGGAAGAUUUGCAGAGACCUGGAUUGUGCAUUCGACCUUUACAAAUUGAAGCGAGAGGCUUUGCAUCUCUGAACAUCAGGAUUCCACUCUAUAAAAAGGAGAAUGAAAGCAUUCAGUUUAUAGGUUUGCUGUGAGGGCUCAACGAGAAUGUGGAUCCAAAAAAGCUUUGGAAACCAAAAUACCGCUAGUUAGCUUGCUGCUUUAUUAUCCAAAAGAGGCUGCAAAGAUUUGAGGUUUGUUUGUAGUUUGUUUGUAGAUUAGUCAGUGUCUACUAAAAUAACACUGUGUAACAACCAUGCCCAAAUCUUGGUGGCUUAAUACCUUAAACGUUAUUUUUCUCAUUCAUGAGGCUGUAGGUGGGUUGGAAUUUGGCAGAUGUAGGCUGGAAUUAGCUGGACCUGCCUCCAGGACCAGGGUUGGACCCAAGUCUUCUGUACGUGUCACCUUCUUUUGGUGCCAGUGCUACCUGGGAUUUUAAUUUCAUGGUUUUGCAGAAGCGUAAGAGGGCAUGCCAACCACGUGAACACUUUUAAAGCCUAACAUCCUAUAGGCCAAAGCCAGCCACAGGUCCAAACUCAACUUCAAUAGGCAGGGAAAGUCCUCCACCUACUUUACCAGGGGAGUACUGCAGAGCAAUGACCGAGGAAGGAAAUGUUUAAUCCUAUUAGGGAGGGAGGGGGGGACCAGGAACACAAAUCCCUCAAGGCAGGACGAGUAAUGGUUGGCUGCCCAAGGUUGACAGACUGGGUCUCAGUUCCUGGCACUGCUCCUCUCUAGCCAUGAGACUUUAGGCAAGUCAACAUUUCAGAGCCUCAGUUUCCUCAUCUGUAAAGUGGGUAUAAUAAUAGAAUUCUCACAGAAUUUCAGUGAGGAUUGCCUGAUUCAUGACAACAGCCUUAUAAGUGGUCCCCUUCUUUUACCUCGCAUCUUCUGUAAUCUCUUCUCUAUGCUUCAUCCUUUAAAUACAAAAGUCACCCGUAAAGACAGAAAACAGAUUAGUGGUGGCCAGAGGUGGUGGAGGGAGAGAGGGGGAGAAAUGAGAGAAGUGCUAAGGGGUAUGAGGUUUCCUUUUGGGGCGAUGAAAAUGUUCUAAAAUCGAUGUGGUUAUGGUUGUACAACUGCAAAUAUACAAUCCCUCUGCCUGGAACCUUUUCCCCAAGAAAUCUGCCCCCACCGUAAAUCCUCACUUGCAUACUGUAUAAUGAGGCUUUUCUGGACCACCCUAUUUAAUUACCCACUCCUUUCUGUCCAUGCCUCUCUCUCGAUAUAUUUUCUCUGAAUGUUUGUAGCAACUUGACAUAUUUUGCAUGCUUAUACACUAUGUACUUUAUAUUAAAGCACAGUUAUGUAAUUUAUUUCUCUGGUCCUUUCACCUCCUUUCCUCCCUCCCUGAAAUAUGCCAGUAGAAUGUAACCUUCAGGAAGGCAAGGAUAUUUACCUUCUGGGUUUGCUGCUGUCUCCCUAGACAGCUCCUGGCACACAGUAAGCCUUUUAAAAAUAUUUGUUGAAUGCAUGAUAUAAGCCAUAUAAUGCUUAGUAGGUGCUCAGGGCUGAGGAACAUAAUUGAUGUUAGCUUUUAUUAUCUUUAUUUACUUCAAAUAACCUACUUAAUUGGGAAAUUUUCCGGGUCUGGAGGGACUCUGAGUUUGAGUCCAGUAUCUUCCCUGGGAGUCCUUGCUUGCACAAAUGUGUGGGAUAGACUCCCGCUGUGUCUGUGGACUCAACGUCUCAGCUCCAGGCUCUUUGCUGCCAGGCAUAGUGAGCCGUGACAUUUAUAAAUCUCUGGGCUCUUAAUCCCCUGCUGAUCCUCGGAGAGGAGUAGACAUUUGUUGCUAAACACAUUGCCCCACUUUGAACAAAGAAACGAAGAGAUACCCCAAGCAUCAAUACAACAGCUGCCUGCGAUGGCUGUGACGUCCCUUCUAUCCUAAGGAGGAGGGUACUGGGACUCAGUCCUGUGCACUGACCUGCCCCACUCACCUGGCUGGUGAGGGGUGCAGUUACUACCUUUGGAACACAUAUCAUUGGGUUUUUGUAUUGCAUUCUUCUGUCUCUGAGCAGAUCUGUUUGUUUAAUGGUCUCUUCCUCACAUUCAGCUCAAGCCUGUAAAUCCUUCGUAUAAAUUCUGCCUGCUCCUUGAUACCAAUCUGUUCUCCUCCAAGUAAAUCUUUUAAAGACAAUACUCCAGCAGCACCGGGAGAACAUUUCCUGCAAAAUCAUGCCCGGAAGCCCCUGUUAGCAUGCAAAUAUGCCCCUUUGCAGCAUGUUCUGAUUGUAACUCGUGAUGCACAGUGCAGAGAAUUAAGCCGGGUCCCUUCCUCAUCAGUCACCAUUUAAUGGAGACUGAAUGGUUGUGGAUACUUUUGUUAGGGUCAUCAAGAAGGUUUGCCAUGCUUGGCUUGGUAAGGAGGAGGUUGUGUGCUCCUGUAAGACAAACCUAGCACUUUAUAGGCUCCCAAAAGCCCAUGGUAGUUACAGGAGCCAUGAAAAACAAACAUGUAGACAUUCAGUAGUGGUCUCAGGAACCCCUAUUGGCAAACUCACCAUUUAUGGAAAGACCUGGAGGGCAGUGUCUUUGGCCAUGACAUGAAACAGCCCAGUAAGCUGCAAAGGCCAGAUUGAAGAGAGCUGUUGAAAAUUCAUUUGCUUGCUAUAGGCUGGCUUUUUAUUUCAUUUUAUUUUAUUUGUUUAUUUAUUAUGUUUUUUAGCAAACCAUCUGAAAUGGGAUGAGAGAGCCAUAUUUGGGCAUACCACCUAUUGGACCAGCAGUUCUACAGAGGCGAGGGUCCAUUUUUUGUUUUGCAGAAGCCUCUCUGUCAGCAGUUCUCAAAAGGAAAGGAGUUUAUUUAUCUUCAGUUCAGCAAAAUUUACUAAGUGCUGACAAUGGGCUAAGGGGAUAGAGACGAAGAAGGAGAUUCUUGCCCUCCAGAAAUUUACAGCCCAACAUAAUGUAAACACUUUUCUAUACAACACUUGCAAAUAGUAAUUGUGUGGAAAUUCAAAUGGUGGACUUACAUGUUAUCAGACUCUGUGUGUGUGCAUAUGUGCAUGUGUGUGUAGGUCACUCCCUAAAGAAUGACAAAUAUGCUAAGAUUUUAGUUACUCCUUGCUUUUUUUGUCCCCCCUCCUCGUUUUUUAACCUUUAUUGAAGUAUCAUUCACAUACCGCAGACUGCAACCACUUCAAGUGUAAAGCUCAGUGACUAUUAAUAUAUUUACAGAGUUGUGCAACCAUAACUGCAAUCUUAUUUUAAGUAAUUUCUACCUCCCCAGAAAGAAGCCUUGUGCCCAUUUGAAGUCCCUCUCCUUCCUAACCCCAGCCUGAGGCAACUACUAAUCUAUUUUCUGUCUCCAUGGAUUUUCCUUUUCUGCACAUUUUAUGUAAUGAAAUCAUGCCAUAUGUGGGUUUUUGUGCCUGGUUUCUUUCACUUAGCAUAAUGUUUUUUGCAGUUUAUCCAUUAGACACACUCGGAAGCAGUAUUUCCAGUAUCAGUCUAUGCUCUCAUUUUGUCCUUUUCCUUUUACAAUUGAAGGCGCAAUUAACUGGCCUAAAUUCGAUGAAGUUAAAGGUUGGCCAUUUGUGGCGUGCUUACUCAAUUCAAUCUCGGCUGAGAUUUGAUCCCUUAUUAUUACAUUAGUGCUUUUUACUUUUCUGUUUUCAGUUACUUUUUAUAAAAUAGUAAGAGUGGAAGAUAAUGAAACGGCUAAAUAAAUCUUAUCGAGAGAUAGUGAAGGUGCUGGAGCUUCCUCACUGAGCAAACAGAACUACAGUAAAAUGAUAACUCAUGAAAAAAUUAAAGUUGGACAUAUGCAUUGGAUUUAGGGGCACCAGCGCACAAUGUGUGAAAGUGCAGCUUGCUCAAAACUUGAAGGUGUGAAUGUCAGAGACUACCUGUGAAUCUCGUCAUCAUUGUCAUCAUUCUCAUAACGAUAAUAGCAAUUCCCUUUUCUGAGUGCAUGGUAUGUGCUAUUCAGUUCCCACACAUUUCCUCAUUGAAUCCUCACAACUGCUAUUGGAGGAAUAUAUUAUUUUUAUUAUUAUUUUCAUUUUACAGAUGGAGACAAUGAGUCCCAGUAAAUUUAAAGACACAUGCCUAAGACUGAGAACCCAAAAUAUCUGAGACAGGUCUCAGUCAAUUUAGAAACGUUUAUUUUGCCAAGGUUAAGGACGUGGUCGGCACAUAGCCCAGGGAGGUCCCGAUGACAUGUGCCCAAGGUGGGCAGGGCACAGCUUGGUUUUAUACAUUUUAGGGACACAUGAGACAUUAAUCCAUAUGUGUAAGAAGUACAUUGGUUCAGUCCAACGUGGAACAACUCCAGGUAGGGAGGGGCUUCCAGGUCAUGGAUAGACAAGAGACAAAAGGUUGCAUUCUUUUGAGUCCUUGAUCAGCCGUCCACUGAACACAGUGUUCAUUCCUGGGCAUAGGCCGAACUAACUUUGGGAAGGAAUUCAGUUCAUGGUUUGACUCUGAAACAAAAUUGAUAAUAACCCUUUCCCAAAAAGACCCUCUUCUUGCUCGGGGACCAGUCUGCCUUUGCAAGACUAACAAGUUAGCUACAAGAUUAGAAAUUACAGUUUAGGGGUCAUGCAGCCUCUGGCUCCAAGAGUCUGAACCUCCUCAAAUUGCUCCUGGGGAUAACAUCACUAUUGUAAAACCUAAGAUCAGUGCUUGAGAUAUUUUGCAGACCGUGCACUCCAUGGAUCAGCUGACACCAUGCAGACCAGUAAUCUGGCUCAAUCAGUUCUGCCGUCUCAUCCAGGAACAGCAAGAAAACCUCACUUCAACCCCCUAGGACUCCAUCUCCAACCUGACCAAUCAGCACUCCUCACUUCCCGAGCCCAUACCCCCCAAAUCCCCGAAUGCUUGGGGAGACUGAUUUGAGUAAUAAUAAUUAAACUCCUGUCUCCCGCACAGCUGGCUCUGUGUGAAUUACUCUUUCUCUAUUGCAAUUCCCCUUCCUUGAUAAAUUGGCUCUGUCUAGACAGUGGGCAAAGUGAACCUGUUGGGCAGUUAGAAAAGGAGCCUGAGAGAUGGGUUGAGGGCGGGUAGAGAAAGUAAUGACUGUGAUCAGACCCCGCUGAGAGAUUUGCCAUUGUCAUGAAGGUAAGAGGGAGACGUUGAGGAAUUUUAAGUGCAGAUGUGAUGUGAACAGAUUUGAGUUUUACAAAAGUGAAUUCCUGGUGGUAAUAACGGUGCCUUGGAUCAAAGUUCUCAAUUCCAAGUAGCAGGUGAGCAUCUCAGAAAAGAUACAAAGCUUCGGACCAAGGUUUCCUCUCUUCUCUUCAGCAGGAAUCACAGUUUGGGGAACUAAACUUGCCAAGGAGAACUUCAGGUUUCUAGAAUCCGAGGCUGAUGAAGAAAGAAUGUUGGGGCAGAUUUUGACAGGGGUCUAAGCUUUGCCUAAUCACACUGCCCGAAUGAGCAGCCACUGCUGAUGAAUUCUCAUUUUCUUAACUGGCAAAGCCUUCUUGGCACAAAAAAAGUGUUUAUGGUUUUUCUUAAAAAAGCGUUUAGUGCCUCUGAGUUGAGAAGGCUGGUGUACUGAGAUGUGGCAUCUCUUUUCUUGUAAAAGUUAAGGGGCUUUUUUCAGUCACUUUAUAGUUUGUUUUAUUGAUGGAGAAAGGGAAAGUGAUAAAAUAUUCUUGUCUUCUAAAAUUUCUGUCCUUUGGCAACAAGGAUGAGAAGGUAUAUGUCCCGGUAAAUUUUUGGGUUACAAAAUAAUCCCUUCUCUUAGUGCUCUACUGACUGAGUUACCACAGUGCUUCCCAUACACUGUCGCCUCAGGCAAGUUGUUUAAUUUUUCCAGGCCUCAGUUGCUUAGUCUGUGAAAUGGGAAUAUGAACACCAAUACCACCUACUUCUUAGAAGUAUUAUGAGGAUUAGGUAUCUAAUAUUUGUAAA
RNAcentral lists this long non-coding RNA (9836 nucleotides) under Homo sapiens (human). RNAcentral describes it as "non-protein coding LINC02177:21". The record is from RNAcentral. Lineage: Eukaryota; Metazoa; Chordata; Mammalia; Primates; Hominidae.